GCUGCGAAUUGAUACCAAUGGUAUCAGUGGUAGGGGAGCGUUCUAAGUGCAGUGAAGUCAGACCGGAAGGACUGGUGGAGCGCUUAGAAGUGAGAAUGCCGGUGUGAGUAGCGAAAGACGGGUGAGAAUCCCGUCCACCGAAUGCCUAAGGUUUCCUGAGGAAGGCUCGUCCGCUCAGGGUUAGUCAGGACCUAAGCCGAGGCCGACAGGCGUAGGCGAUGGACAACAGGUUGAUAUUCCUGUACC
This 246-nucleotide ribosomal RNA is filed under the name Winogradskyella ouciana. Its description in RNAcentral is "Winogradskyella sp. ZXX205 partial 23S ribosomal RNA". It matches the Rfam family "Bacterial large subunit ribosomal RNA", at positions 1199 to 1445 of the family's 2925-position model. The record is from RNAcentral. Lineage: Bacteria; Pseudomonadati; Bacteroidota; Flavobacteriia; Flavobacteriales; Flavobacteriaceae.